UCUAUGUUUGUUAUUAGCCGAGCGUCUUUGCCCUAUUCGCCUUGCCGCACUCUAAACCCCCGCUCCGCCUCCUCCGCCGCUGCUCCCCUGCGUCUCCUCGGCAGGCCGCCUCGAUCGUCCCCUUUCUUUCCCUUCCGUUUCCCUCAGGUCGGAUUCGGAGAGUGGGUCGUAGAUAAUAUGUUCGCGACGGCGGUUCGAUGGAUGGCAAAGAAGCCAAAGCCGAAGAUGAAGCCCAUCGAGCCCCGGACGCCGCCGGAGCAGACCCAGACCGUCACCCGCGCUAUAUUCGAUGUCGUCAAGGAGCACGGGCCCCUUACUGUCGCCGACACUUGGGACCACCUAAAGGAUUUAAGAGACCAUAGAAGGUUUCGGGGAGGUUGGCCUUUGUGGACGAACACGUAAGGGUGCCGCAUGACUUAAGCAAAACCAACUAAGUUCGUGAUAGUUCGUCAAGGAAAAUGCCACAACGAUAAGAUCUCAUUGGAGGAAGACAUCAUCCUUGCUGUUGCCAUUUGUCGAUGGAGAGGAAGACAACCGUCGUUCACUAAGGAAACACCACAAUCACUGGGGAGAAACGUUCCAUCGCAUUGUUUUUAGGGCAUGGGUGCAUGCGCAUGCAAAGGGGGAGGGGGAUGUUAGGGUGAGAUUGUUCUCAUCUAGUUCAAUUGAACCAGCGAUCCAAAUUGGCUUGACUCAACCUGAGUUGAAUCAGGGGGGCCAAUGCAUGGGUCUAGGGGAGGGCAUGGGCCGCACAUGGUUGAAGUUGCCCACCCAGCCCAUUUAUUGGGUGCUCGGGCCUUGCCUCGCCUUGCGUAGGCACUCGAUGACUUCACUGCUAUGAUGAGAUUUCCUUAUCAAGAUGAAGUACAAGGAAAGCAAUGGGAAGUGGGAACUCCCUAAUAGUUAUUACAUAUUCCUGUAUUUGUUUUUUCUUAAUCGGAGACCAUUAAGUAUUAAUUGAAUCACAUGCUUUUAACAAAACUUAACAAGCCAAACAUGGGUUCGCUAGAUAACAUAGCAGAUAACAAACAUUGGGAUUAUCAUGCACAUCCAUGGAUUGAUAAAAAUGGUACUUAGAUGUGACUGUUUUUGAGUAAUAAAACCAUUUACAGACUUUGGUUUCAAAUUAGAGAUGCUGGGAACUGAUGGUAUGUUGAUAAAAGCUUUUUCAUUUCUUUCUACCCUUCAGAGAAUUUUAUUUAUUUCGUCAGAUUCAUAGGCCAACCAGUAAGACAUACUGGUUUUUCUUGAUGGAGAAUUUUAUUUGCUUCAUCAGAUUCAUAAGCCUUAACCAGUGAGACUUACACUAUAAUGAUGAUGCUUGCUUGAGGGAUUGAAUAGCGGUACAUCAGCAUCUUGAAAACUUUAGCAAUUUCGGUCUGGCCAUGACAAUAUUUAGUUAUGGUGGAUAUUGCAUAUGCCAGUUCUUUGAUAAUUGUUUUUUCAUGAAAUCUAGUAGUUGAAAGAGAGGGAUUGCAGAGUCUUAUUAUGGUGAUUUACCCAAUCUGAUAGCACUGCCAUAUUUAUUUAAUCCAUCAUUGUCGACAAAUAGCAUAAAAUUAAUAUAUCAUUCUUUUUUUUUUUU
Musa acuminata AAA Group (dessert banana) is the source of this 1585-nucleotide long non-coding RNA. RefSeq lists it as uncharacterized. The record is from RefSeq and is a predicted model, not a curated record. The transcript has 2 exons. NCBI's taxonomy places the organism in Eukaryota, Viridiplantae, Streptophyta, Magnoliopsida, Zingiberales, Musaceae.